GGUUAAGCGACUAAGCGUACACGGUGGAUGCCCUGGCAGUCAGAGGCGAUGAAGGACGUGCUAAUCUGCGAUAAGCGUCGGUAAGGUGAUAUGAACCGUUAUAACCGGCGAUUUCCGAAUGGGGAAACCCAGUGUGAUUCGUCACACUAUCAUUAACUGAAUCCAUAGGUUAAUGAGGCGAACCGGGGGAACUGAAACAUCUAAGUACCCCGAGGAAAAGAAAUCAACCGAGAUUCCCCCAGUAGCGGCGAGCGAACGGGGAGCAGCCCAGAGCCUGAAUCAGUGUGUGUGUUAGUGGAAGCGUCUGGAAAGGCGUGCGAUACAGGGUGACAGCCCCGUACACAAAAAUGCACAUACUGUGAGCUCGAUGAGUAGGGCGGGACACGUGGUAUCCUGUCUGAAUAUGGGGGGACCAUCCUCCAAGGCUAAAUACUCCUGACUGACCGAUAGUGAACCAGUACCGUGAGGGAAAGGCGAAAAGAACCCCGGCGAGGGGAGUGAAAAAGAACCUGAAACCGUGUACGUACAAGCAGUGGGAGCACGCUUAGGCGUGUGACUGCGUACCUUUUGUAUAAUGGGUCAGCGACUUAUAUUCUGUAGCAAGGUUAACCGAAUAGGGGAGCCGAAGGGAAACCGAGUCUUAACUGGGCGUUAAGUUGCAGGGUAUAGACCCGAAACCCGGUGAUCUAGCCAUGGGCAGGUUGAAGGUU
RNAcentral lists this ribosomal RNA (710 nucleotides) under Shigella flexneri. RNAcentral describes it as "partial 23S ribosomal RNA". It matches the Rfam family "Bacterial large subunit ribosomal RNA", at positions 1 to 753 of the family's 2925-position model. Lineage: Bacteria; Pseudomonadati; Pseudomonadota; Gammaproteobacteria; Enterobacterales; Enterobacteriaceae. The record is from RNAcentral.